UGGGGAAUUGUUCACAAUGGGCGCAAGCCUGAUGACGCAACGCCGCGUGGGGGAUGAAGGUCUUCGGAUUGUAAACCCCUGUCGAACGGGACGAAAGACCCGGGAGCUAAUCAUCCCGGGAGUGACGGUACCGUUAAAGGAAGCCACGGCUAACUCUGUGCCAGCAGCCGCGGUAAUACAGAGGUGGCAAGCGUUGUUCGGAAUUACUGGGCGUAAAGGGCGAGUAGGUGGCCAUCUAAGUCAGACGUGAAAUCCCCCGGCUUAACCUGGGAACUGCGUCUGAUACUGGACGGCUAGAGUUUGGGAGAGGGAUGCAGAAUUCCAGGUGUAGCGGUGAAAUGCGUAGAUAUCUGGAGGAAUACCGGUGGCGAAGGCGGCAUCCUGGACCAACACUGACACUGAAUCGCGAAAGCUAGGGGAGCAAAC
This 426-nucleotide ribosomal RNA is filed under the name uncultured bacterium. Its description in RNAcentral is "bacterial SSU rRNA". It matches the Rfam family "Bacterial small subunit ribosomal RNA", at positions 355 to 773 of the family's 1533-position model. The record is from RNAcentral.